Molecule: ribosomal RNA, 497 nt
Filed under: uncultured bacterium
Lineage: Bacteria
Description: partial 16S ribosomal RNA
Rfam family: Bacterial small subunit ribosomal RNA
Source: RNAcentral
GAUGAACGCUGGCGGUGUGCCUAAUUCAUGCAAGUCGAGCGAACAGACGAGGAGCUUGCUCCUCUGACGUUAGCGGCGGACGGGUGAGUAACACGUGGAUAACCUACCUAUAAGACUGGGAUAACUUCGGGAAACCGGAGCUAAUACCGGAUAAUAUAUUGAACCGCAUGGUUCAAUAGUGAAAGACGGUUUUGCUGUCACUUAUAGAUGGAUCCGCGCCGCAUUAGCUAGUUGGUAAGGUAACGGCUUACCAAGGCAACGAUGCGUAGCCGACCUGAGAGGGUGAUCGGCCACACUGGAACUGAGACACGGUCCAGACUCCUACGGGAGGCAGCAGUAGGGAAUCUUCCGCAAUGGGCGAAAGCCUGACGGAGCAACGCCGCGUGAGUGAUGAAGGUCUUCGGAUCGUAAAACUCUGUUAUUAGGGAAGAACAAAUGUGUAAGUAACUAUGCACGUAUUGACGGUACCUAAUCAGAAAGCCACGGCUAACUACGUG